AACGAACGCUGGCGGCAUGCCUAACACAUGCAAGUCGAACGAGACCUUCGGGUCUAGUGUCGCACGGGUGCGUAACGCGUGGGAACCUGCCCUUAGGUUCGGAAUAACUCCCCGAAAGGGGUGCUAAUACCGGAUAAUGUCUUCGGACCAAAGAUUUAUCGCCUUUGGAUGGGCCCGCGUUGGAUUAGCUAGUUGGUAGGGUAAAAGCCUACCAAGGCGACGAUCCAUAGCUGGUCUGAGAGGAUGAUCAGCCACACUGGGACUGAGACACGGCCCAGACUCCUACGGGAGGCAGCAGUGGGGAAUAUUGGACAAUGGGCGAAAGCCUGAUACAGCAAUGCCGCGUGAGUGAUGAAGGCCUUAGGGUUGUAAAGCUCUUUUAACCGGGAUGAUAAUGACAGUACCGGGAGAAUAAGCACCGGCUAACUCCGUG
RNAcentral lists this ribosomal RNA (433 nucleotides) under uncultured bacterium. Its description in RNAcentral is "partial 16S ribosomal RNA". It matches the Rfam family "Bacterial small subunit ribosomal RNA", at positions 29 to 507 of the family's 1533-position model. The record is from RNAcentral.